AGUGGGGAAUAUUGCGCAAUGGGGGAAACCCUGACGCAGCAACGCCGCGUGCGGGAUGAAGGCCUUCGGGUUGUAAACCGCUUUCAGCAGGGACGAAGGAUUUCUGACGGUACCUGCAGAAGAAGCACCGGCUAACUACGUGCCAGCAGCCGCGGUGAUACGUAGGGUGCGAGCGUUGUCCGGAAUUAUUGGGCGUAAAGAGCUUGUAGGCGGUCCGUCACGUCGGAAGUGAAACCUCAGGGCUUAACCCUGAGCCUGCUUUCGAUACGGGCAGACUUGAGGGAUGUAGGGGAGAACGGAAUUCCUGGUGGAGCGGUGGAAUGCGCAGAUAUCAGGAGAAACACCAGUGGCGAAGGCGGUUCUCUGGACAUUUCCUGACGCUGAGAAGCGAAAGCGUGGGGAGCAAACAGGCUUAGAUACCCUGGUAGUCCACGCCGUAAACGGUGGGCACUAGGUGUGGGACCCUUCCACGGGUUCCGUGCCGUAGCUAACGCAUUAAGUGCCCCGCCUGGGGAGUACGGCCGCAAGGCUAAAACUCAAAGGAAUUGACGGGGGCCCGCACAAGCGGCGGAGCAUGCGGAUUAAUUCGAUGCAACGCGAAGAACCUUACCUGGGUUUGACAUAUACCGGAAACAUCUGGAGACAGGUGCCCCGCAAGGUCGGUAUACAGGUGGUGCAUGGCUGUCGUCAGCUCGUGUCGUGAGAUGUUGGGUUAAGUCCCGCAACGAGCGCAACCCUCGUUCUAUGUUGCCAGCGGUUCGGCCGGGAACUCAUAGAAGACUGCCGGGGUCAACUCGGAGGAAGGUGGGGAUGACGUCAAGUCAUCAUGCCCCUUAUGUCCAGGGCUUCACGCAUGCUACAAUGGCUGGUACAAAGGGCUGCAAUACCGCAAGGUGGAGCGAAUCCCAUAAAGCCAGUCUCAGUUCGGAUUGGGGUCUGCAACUCGACCCCAUGAAGUCGGAGUCGCUAGUAAUCGCAGAUCAGCAACGCUGCGGUGAAUACGUUCCCGGGCCUUGUACACACCGCCCGUCAAGUCAUGAAAGUCGGUAACACCCGAAGCCGGUGGCCUAACCCUUGUGGAGGGAGCCGUCGAAGGUGGGACCGGUAAUUAGGACU
RNAcentral lists this ribosomal RNA (1116 nucleotides) under uncultured bacterium. RNAcentral describes it as "bacterial SSU rRNA". It matches the Rfam family "Bacterial small subunit ribosomal RNA", at positions 353 to 1482 of the family's 1533-position model. The record is from RNAcentral.